Molecule: long non-coding RNA, 347 nt
Organism: Physella acuta
Lineage: Eukaryota; Metazoa; Mollusca; Gastropoda; Physidae
Source: RefSeq, a predicted model, not a curated record
ACAGCUCGUUACAAAAGAAACAGCUAUUUAAUUAGGAUUGGACUUUCUGAUGAGCGACAAGAGGGUCGAUGGGAAUGGGUGGAUGGAACAAAAAAUGUUUACAUACAAUGGGGCAGCAAUGAACCUAGCGGCGGAACGAGUCAAAACUGUGUUGCCCUUUGUCUGUGUUCGGAUGCCUGGGUUGAUAUAGAUUGUUCUCUUCCGAUUCCUUUCAUAUGCAAAAAGGUCAUUCCGAUAAAUAAUUGUGAAAAUAAAACAUUGAACGAUUGUCAACAAAUAUGUAUUGAUACCUACGAGAGUUACAGAUGCGAGUGUGAGGGAGGCUACCUGUAUCAGUUAAUAGACGG